RNAcentral lists this ribosomal RNA (253 nucleotides) under uncultured bacterium. RNAcentral's name for it is "partial 16S ribosomal RNA". It matches the Rfam family "Bacterial small subunit ribosomal RNA", at positions 524 to 776 of the family's 1533-position model. The record is from RNAcentral.
UACAGAGGGGGCAAGCGUUGUUCGGAAUUACUGGGCGUAAAGGGCGCGUAGGCGGCUCGUUUAGUCGGGUGUGAAAUCCCAAGGCUCAACCUUGGAACUGCAUUCGAUACUGGCGGGCUAGAGACCGGAAGAGGUGGGUGGAAUACCCAGUGUAGAGGUGAAAUUCGUAGAUAUUGGGUGGAACACCGGUGGCGAAGGCGGCUCACUGGUCCGGUUCUGACGCUGAGGCGCGAAAGCGUGGGGAGCAAACAGG